GGGUCUGUAGUGCAAUGGUAACACACUGGAGCUGCUGAGUUCAAGUCCGGCCUGAUCUAGAGGUCUUGGGUUCAAACCCCCUCUUGUGCU
Non-coding RNA from Mycena leptocephala, 90 nucleotides. NCBI's taxonomy places the organism in Eukaryota, Fungi, Basidiomycota, Agaricomycetes, Agaricales, Mycenaceae. The record is from the annotation of a GenBank genome assembly.